GCAGUGGGGAUUAUUAAACACUGGGCGCAAGCAUGAUCUAGCCAUGCCGUGUGAGUGACGAAGGCGUUGGGGUUGUAAAUCUCUUUCGCCAGGGAUGAUAAUGACUGUACCCACUAAAGAAGCCCCGUAUAUCUCCGUGCCCGCAGCCGCUAUAAUACGGAGGGCGCGAGUUUUUUUCAUAAUUACUGGGCGUAAAGCGCAUGUAGGCGGAUCAUAAUUUUAGGGGAAAAAUCCCGGUUCUCACCCCGAGAACUGCUUUUAAAACUGUUGGUUUAGAGUUCGAGAGAGGAGAGUGGAAUUCCGAGUGUAGAGGUAAAAUUUAGAGAUAUUGAGAAAAACACCAGUGGAGAAGGGGGCUCUGGGGCUCGAUAGACACUGUGAGGUGAAAGAGUGGGGGGCGCAAAGGGGAUGAUAUCCCGUUGUUUCCCACCCUGUAAACGGUGAACCCAGAUGUCGGGGAGCACCCCUUCGGUGUCGCAGCUAACGCAUAA
RNAcentral lists this ribosomal RNA (491 nucleotides) under uncultured bacterium. RNAcentral's name for it is "bacterial SSU rRNA". It matches the Rfam family "Bacterial small subunit ribosomal RNA", at positions 351 to 862 of the family's 1533-position model. The record is from RNAcentral.